UUCCUACGGGUGGCAGCAGUGGGGAAUCUUGGACAAUGGGCGCAAGCCUGAUCCAGCCAUGCCGCGUGGAUGAUGAAGGCCCUAGGGUUGUAAAAUCCUUUCGUUGGGGACGAUAAUGACGGUACCCAAAGAAGAAGCUCCGGCUAACUUCGUGCCAGCAGCCGCGGUAAUACGAAGGGGGCUAGCGUUGUUCGGAUUUACUGGGCGUAAAGCGCGUGUAGGCGGGUCGUUAAGUUGGGGGUGAAAUCCCGAGGCUCAACCUCGGAACUGCCCUCAAAACUGGCGACCUGGAGCAAGAUAGAGGCAAGUGGAAUUGCGAGUGUAGAGGUGAAAUUCGUAGAUAUUCGCAGGAACACCAGUGGCGAAGGCGACUUGCUGGAUCUUUGCUGACGCUGAGACGCGAAAGCGUGGGGAGCAAACAGGAUUAGAUACCCCAGUAGUCCU
RNAcentral lists this ribosomal RNA (444 nucleotides) under uncultured Hyphomonadaceae bacterium. RNAcentral describes it as "bacterial SSU rRNA". It matches the Rfam family "Bacterial small subunit ribosomal RNA", at positions 336 to 797 of the family's 1533-position model. Lineage: Bacteria; Pseudomonadati; Pseudomonadota; Alphaproteobacteria; Hyphomonadales; Hyphomonadaceae. The record is from RNAcentral.